UACAGAGGUCCCAAGCGUUGUUCGGAAUUACUGGGCGUAAAGGGCUCGUAGGUGGCCAACUAAGUCGGACGUGAAAUCCCUCGGCUUAACCGGGGAACUGCGUCCGAUACUGGUUGGCUUGAGUUUGGGAGAGGGAUGCGGAAUUCCAGGUGUAGCGGUGAAAUGCGUAGAUAUCUGGAGGAACACCGGUGGCGAAGGCGGCAUCCUGGACCAAUACUGACGCUGAGGAGCGAAAGCCAGGGGAGCAAACGGG
This 253-nucleotide ribosomal RNA is filed under the name uncultured bacterium. RNAcentral describes it as "partial 16S ribosomal RNA". It matches the Rfam family "Bacterial small subunit ribosomal RNA", at positions 524 to 776 of the family's 1533-position model. The record is from RNAcentral.